Molecule: ribosomal RNA, 506 nt
Filed under: uncultured bacterium
Lineage: Bacteria
Description: bacterial SSU rRNA
Rfam family: Bacterial small subunit ribosomal RNA
Source: RNAcentral
AUUGAACGCUGGCGGCAUGCCUUACACAUGCAGGUCGAACGGCAGCACGGGAGCAAUCCUGGUGGCGAGUGGCGAACGGGUGAGUAAUGUAUCGGAACGUGCCUUGUCGUGGGGGAUAACGUAGCGAAAGCUACGCUAAUACCGCAUACCAUCUAAGGAUGAAAGCGGGGGAUCGCAAGACCUCGCGCGACAAGAGUGGCCGAUAUCAGAUUAGGUUGUUGGUGGGGUAAAGGCCUACCAAGCCGACGAUCUGUAGCUGGUCUGAGAGGACGACCAGCCACACUGGGACUGAGACACGGCCCAGACUCCUACGGGAGGCAGCAGUGGGGAAUUUUGGACAAUGGGCGAAAGCCUGAUCCAGCAAUGCCGCGUGCAGGAUGAAGGCCUUCGGUUGGUAAACUAGCUUUGUUACUAGAACGAAACAAGUACUCUCCUAAUACGGGGGCGGAAGUGACGGUACUGUAAGAAUAAGCACCGGCUAACUAACGUGCCAGCAGCCGCGGUAA